Molecule: ribosomal RNA, 1202 nt
Filed under: Rhodococcus sp. (in: high G+C Gram-positive bacteria)
Lineage: Bacteria; Bacillati; Actinomycetota; Actinomycetes; Mycobacteriales; Nocardiaceae
Description: bacterial SSU rRNA
Rfam family: Bacterial small subunit ribosomal RNA
Source: RNAcentral
UGGGAAACUGGGUCUAAUACCGGAUAUGAGCUCCUGUCGCAUGGCGGGGGUUGGAAAGGUUUACUGGUGCAGGAUGGGCCCGCGGCCUAUCAGCUUGUUGGUGGGGUAAUGGCCUACCAAGGCGACGACGGGUAGCCGGCCUGAGAGGGCGACCGGCCACACUGGGACUGAGACACGGCCCAGACUCCUACGGGAGGCAGCAGUGGGGAAUAUUGCACAAUGGGCGAAAGCCUGAUGCAGCGACGCCGCGUGAGGGAUGACGGCCUUCGGGUUGUAAACCUCUUUCAGCAGGGACGAAGCGAAAGUGACGGUACCUGCAGAAGAAGCACCGGCCAACUACGUGCCAGCAGCCGCGGUAAUACGUAGGGUGCGAGCGUUGUCCGGAAUUACUGGGCGUAAAGAGCUCGUAGGCGGUUUGUCGCGUCGUCCGUGAAAACUUGGGGCUCAACCCCAAGCUUGCGGGCGAUACGGGCAGACUUGAGUACUGCAGGGGAGACUGGAAUUCCUGGUGUAGCGGUGAAAUGCGCAGAUAUCAGGAGGAACACCGGUGGCGAAGGCGGGUCUCUGGGCAGUAACUGACGCUGAGGAGCGAAAGCGUGGGUAGCGAACAGGAUUAGAUACCCUGGUAGUCCACGCCGUAAACGGUGGGCGCUAGGUGUGGGUUUCCUUCCACGGGAUCCGUGCCGUAGCUAACGCAUUAAGCGCCCCGCCUGGGGAGUACGGCCGCAAGGCUAAAACUCAAAGGAAUUGACGGGGGGCCCGCACAAGCGGCGGAGCAUGUGGAUUAAUUCGAUGCAACGCGAAGAACCUUACCUGGGUUUGACAUAUACCGGAAACACCUAGAGAUAGGUGCCCCCUUGUGGUCGGUAUACAGGUGGUGCAUGGCUGUCGUCAGCUCGUGUCGUGAGAUGUUGGGUUAAGUCCCGCAACGAGCGCAACCCUUGUCCUGUGUUGCCAGCGCGUAAUGGCGGGGACUCGCAGGAGACUGCCGGGGUCAACUCGGAGGAAGGUGGGGACGACGUCAAGUCAUCAUGCCCCUUAUGUCCAGGGCUUCACACAUGCUACAAUGGCCGGUACAGAGGGCUGCGAUACCGUGAGGUGGAGCGAAUCCCUUAAAGCCGGUCUCAGUUCGGAUCGGGGUCUGCAACUCGACCCCGUGAAGUCGGAGUCGCUAGUAAUCGCAGAUCAGCAACGCUGCGGUG